RNAcentral lists this ribosomal RNA (253 nucleotides) under uncultured bacterium. Its description in RNAcentral is "partial 16S ribosomal RNA". It matches the Rfam family "Bacterial small subunit ribosomal RNA", at positions 524 to 776 of the family's 1533-position model. The record is from RNAcentral.
UACGUAGGGUGCGAGCGUUAAUCGGAAUUACUGGGCGUAAAGGGCGCGUAGGUGGCCUGAUAAGGGUGUGGUGAAAGUCCGGGGCUCAACCCCGGAUCUGCCGUGCCGACUGUCAGGCUAGAGUGCUGUAGGGGCAGGCGGAAUUCCGGGUGUAGCGGUGGAAUGCGUAGAGAUCCGGAGGAAGACCGGUGGCGAAGGCGGCCUGCUGGGCAGAUACUGACACUGAGGCGCGACAGCGUGGGGAGCAAACAGG